GAUGAACGCUAGCGGCAGGCUUAACACAUGCAAGUCGAGGGGUAACAGAGAGUGCUUGCACUCUGCUGACGACCGGCGCACGGGUGAGUAACGCGUAUGCAACCUACCUUUUACAGGGGAAUAGCCCAGAGAAAUUUGGAUUAAUACCCCAUAUUAUCUUUUAUUCGCAUGAAUUAGAGAUGAAAGUUUCGACGGUAAAAGAUGGGCAUGCGUCCUAUUAGUUUGUUGGUAAGGUAAUGGCUUACCAAGACUUCGAUAGGUAGGGGCCCUGAGAGGGGGACCCCCACACUGGUACUGAGACACGGACCAGACUCCGACGGGAGGCAGCAGGGAGGAAUAUUGGACAAUGGAGGAAACUCUGAUCCAGCCAUGCCGCGUGCAGGAUGAAUGCCCUAUGGGUUGUAAACUGCUUUUAUACAGGAAGAAACAUUUCCACGUGUGGGAACUUGACGGUACUGUAAGAAUAAGGAUCGGCUAACUCCGUGCCAGCAGCCGCCGCCGUAAGAC
Molecule: ribosomal RNA, 507 nt
Filed under: uncultured bacterium
Lineage: Bacteria
Description: bacterial SSU rRNA
Rfam family: Bacterial small subunit ribosomal RNA
Source: RNAcentral